AAAAAAAAAAACAUUGAAGCUGGUUGGAAUCAACACUCAGUCUUCUGGUGCCAGAAAAUUUUGGUGACUUGUUCAAGUUUACAACAUGCCUUUAAAUAAGAAAAGCCGUAUCAGGCAUGCUGCUGUCAGGAAUAGGGGAGAACAGUGCCAGGAAAAGAGGACAGGGUGCAUCCACUGCUUCUCCGCUUUGCAAGUAUUGUCCCACAGGCAAGAGAAGAAAAUGUCCCAGACUCUGAAAUAUUCAUCAAAGCAGGAGAAAAAAUAUCUUCCACAGGACACCAUCAAAACCCUGAAACAAAUACAGUGUGAUCAAGAAAUGUAUUUAAUCUUUUUGAACCUGUGGAAGUAGUAACAUAUUAGGUAAUCCAGGACUCUUAAUACAGGUUUAUAUUGUUUAUGUUUAGAAUUUAUGUACUGUGGUUAAAAGCCUUAUUGAUGUACAAUUAUUUUUCUCUGGUUUUUGUAUUUUGCCAUUGGUCCCAUUACAAUUGUGUGGUGAAGUCUACUUGUAGAUAUUUUGCUUUUAACUGUAGAUGUUUCAUGAUGUAGUCUUUCUAUACUUUUUGACUCCUUGAUCACUCUUUUACUGCUGAUUUCUGAACUCCCCUUUUGCAGUCUUUUCCCAAUAAAAGGUCACU
Pogoniulus pusillus (Red-fronted tinkerbird) is the source of this 638-nucleotide long non-coding RNA. RefSeq lists it as uncharacterized. The transcript has 3 exons. Lineage: Eukaryota; Metazoa; Chordata; Aves; Piciformes; Lybiidae. The record is from RefSeq and is a predicted model, not a curated record.